Molecule: small nucleolar RNA, 94 nt
Filed under: Candidozyma auris
Lineage: Eukaryota; Fungi; Ascomycota; Pichiomycetes; Serinales; Metschnikowiaceae
Source: RNAcentral
CGGGCCAAGAUUAUUUGCAUUUUACCAAUUGUUCCAACUGAAUGUUCCGGGUUGACAAAUGCAUAUCGUUAAGUUUCAGCCUUGUAUGAGCCCU